UAAAUUUUAGAAUUGAGAGCGUAAAAAUUUGUAAAAAUUGAGGUUAGAAAUUUUAAAAUUAAUGCUCUUUUACUCUUGGAGGAUUUUUGACAGAUAACCGGCAAAUUCUUAAUUUUGUUUAUGUGAAGUGUUGUGGUGUUGCAUUGUGAAUUUUAAAACGUUUUCAAAGUGCAUUUCGUUGUAUUACAUAUAAAUAGUCAAACUAGGGCCAACAACGUAAAGGUAGGUCCAGAACGAGUCUAGUUAAUAAAGAAACUGGCAUCGCAAAGUGAGUUUUUAAACAUGUUUUAGUCGACAAUUAUUUAUAAUAAUCUAGAAUAAAAUAAUGUUGAAUGAACAACGUUAGAAAAAAAUAUGAUGAUAAAAACACGAUAAAAUUAUUUGAAGGCAGAGAAGCGUAACAAAUGACAAUCCCAUAUGUUAUCUCAAAUCUGAAACUCACUCCAAUUUGCCGGACAAUAAACGCAUAACAUCACGACCGUGAAAUCCUUUCAUUCGCCCCGUGUCAGUGACACACCACAAUUAUUAUUACUAUUACCGCAUAUUACGCAA
This is a long non-coding RNA of Aethina tumida (small hive beetle), 552 nucleotides long. RefSeq lists it as uncharacterized. Lineage: Eukaryota; Metazoa; Arthropoda; Insecta; Coleoptera; Nitidulidae. The record is from RefSeq and is a predicted model, not a curated record. The transcript has 3 exons.